GGGAAUAUUUGUCAGUCUAAGUAUUUUAAAAUAUCGAAACGCAAUUUAAGUCCCAACACGGCCGGUUUAACAAAUCGAAAAACAGACUAGGACCCACCCAGCACCAGACGUCAUUUGGACGUCGUUUUCUGGUCUAAAUCAAGUCGGCCCGUCAUGGCCAUCUUUUAGACCAAAAAGCGACGUUGAAAAUUGGUCUUCAUUUGGUCCGUCGGAUUUGGUCCAAAUUAAGCCCAAAAAGCGACGCUGAAAAUUGGUCUUCGUUUGGUCCGUCGGAUUUGGUCCAAAUUAAGCCCAAAAAGCGACGUUGAAAAUUGGUCUAAGAUUGGUCCGUCGGAUUUGGUCCAAAUUAAGCCCAAAAAGCGACAUUUAACGUCUUUUUUUUAAAUUUAGGCCAAAAAUAGGUGUAAAUGGGCUUUAGUCCAAAUUUAGCAGAAAAAAACUUUUAUUUCGCACCACAAAGCCAUUAACAUAAAUUAGUGAAGAAAUAUAUUAGACAUGUCUGAAGCACUGUUAAAUAUAUUUAAAUAUAUUUUGAAAACACUUGAUGGUCACGCGCUGUACUGGAGUCACCAUGGAAACGGGGCUCAGCUCAACCGUCAAGCAGCUGCAGACGCUGUCUCUCGUGGUUGUUUUCACUAAUUUCAGAAAUGGUCAGUGUCUUCAGAAAAAGUCCGUUAGCAUCUCAACUGUAAUGCUAACUACAAGAGUUAUUUUGAUGUCCACACUGUAAGAGUAUUAAUCGAUUCUUCCAUGCUGAUGGCCAUGCAUGUAUCCAGCUGAAGAACAUUUUUAGACAUUAUGAAACAUAUAACUAAGACUGAAAAUCAUUGAUAAACCACAAGAGUUUAGCUCCAACCCCAGUUAAGCAGACCUGAGCAGCUGAUCAAGGAUCAGCAGAAACUCUGCAGAACGGUGCUCCUCCAGCCCAGGACUGGACACCAGUGUUAUGCUAGAGAAAAAACAGCGAGGCUCCAGCAUUCAAAGUGGAAACAUCUGCCGUGGCUCAUUCAUCCAGAAUUGGGAUGGAGGAAGGAGCAGAAGAUCAGAGAUCAGGCAGAGAUCUACUGGUGCCCCUGUGGGAACCCCAUUUACCUAAUGUGUUUUUUAAACCAAAGAUUUUCCUCACUCAUCUUCAUGUUGUUCCAAGCCAGACUUUUUUUGAAACAUAAAUGCAGAACUUUUUAAUGAAAUCUGAGAAUUAUUUUAAAUAUAAAAUAACGCAUUCACACAAGCACCAUGAUGCAUCAGUGU
This is a long non-coding RNA of Carassius auratus (goldfish), 1251 nucleotides long. RefSeq lists it as uncharacterized. The record is from RefSeq and is a predicted model, not a curated record. The transcript has 7 exons. Lineage: Eukaryota; Metazoa; Chordata; Actinopteri; Cypriniformes; Cyprinidae.